RNAcentral lists this ribosomal RNA (758 nucleotides) under Candidatus Yanofskybacteria bacterium GW2011_GWA2_44_10. Its description in RNAcentral is "bacterial SSU rRNA". It matches the Rfam family "Bacterial small subunit ribosomal RNA", at positions 7 to 797 of the family's 1533-position model. The record is from RNAcentral. Lineage: Bacteria; Candidatus Yanofskyibacteriota.
GAGAGUUUGAUUCUGGCUCAGGAUGAAUGCUGGCGGCGUGGAUAAGGCAUGCAAGUCGAACGAGCUUUCUCCGCAAGGAGAAGGUGUAGUGGCGAACGAGUUAGUAACACCUUGGUACGUACCCUUUAGUCGGGCACAACCAGCCGAAAGGUUGGCUAAUUCCCGAUAGUCCCUCACGGGUAAAGUCGCAAGACGCUUAAGGAGCGGCCUAGGUCCUAUCAGCUUGUUGGCGGGGUAAAAGCCCACCAAGGCUAUGACGGGUAGGAGGCGUGAGAGCGCGACCUUCAACGGCGAUACUGAGAAACGGAUCGCACACCUACGGGUGGCAGCAGUCGAGAAUAUUCGACAAUGGGCGAAAGCCUGAUCGAGCGACGCCGCGUGCAGGAAGAAGUCCUUCGGGAUGUAAACUGCUUUUGCGUGGGAAGAACUUUGACGGUACCACGAGAAUAAGGGGUUCCUAACUCUGUGCCAGCAGGAGCGGUAAUACAGAGACCCCAAGCAUUAUCCGGAAUUACUGGGCGUAAAGCGCGAGUAGCCGGUUGCAUUAGUCUGAUGUUAAAUUUCAUGGCUUAACUGUGAAACCGCAUCGGAAACGGUGCGACUUGAGCAGCUGAGAGGUACGCGGAACGUGCGGUGUAGGGGUGAAAUCCAUUGAUAUUGCACGGAACACCAAAAGCGAAGGCAGCGUACUGGCAGUUUGCUGACGGUCAAUCGCGAAAGCGUGGGGAUCAAAAAGGAUUAGAUACCCUUGUAGUCCA